GGGGAAUUUUCCGCAAUGGGCGAAAGCCUGACGGAGCAAUACCGCGUGAGGGAAGAAGGCUCUUGGGUUGUAAACCUCUUUUCUGAGGGAAGAAAAAAAUGACGGUACCUCAGGAAUCAGCAUCGGCUAACUCCGUGCCAGCAGCCGCGGUAAUACGGAGGAUGCAAGCGUUAUCCGGAAUGAUUGGGCGUAAAGCGUCCGCAGGUGGCAUAUCAAGUUUGCGGUUAAAGGUUCUGGCUCAACCAGAAACAGGCCGUGAAAACUGAUAAGCUAGAGUAUGGUAGGGGCAGAGGGAAUUCCCAGUGUAGCGGUGAAAUGCGUAGAGAUUGGGAAGAACACCGGUGGCGAAAGCGCUCUGCUAGGCCAAAACUGACACUGAGGGACGAAAGCUAGGGGAGCGAAUGGGAUUAGAUACCCCAGUAGUC
This 425-nucleotide ribosomal RNA is filed under the name uncultured cyanobacterium. RNAcentral describes it as "bacterial SSU rRNA". It matches the Rfam family "Bacterial small subunit ribosomal RNA", at positions 356 to 795 of the family's 1533-position model. Lineage: Bacteria; Bacillati; Cyanobacteriota. The record is from RNAcentral.